GGCAGACGCCGGUUGCUCGCUUCCGCAAGGAAGUGCGGCUUCUGUGUGUUUGUCAUCCUUCUAGAUUGGGGUGAUGCUCGGUUUACUCCUGGUGUCUCCUUUGUCUAGAUUUUUUACUUUGAAGAAAUUAGAGUGUUCAAAGCAGGCAUAUCGCUUUGCAUACAUUAGCAUGGAAUAAUACCAUAGGACUUUUGUUCUAUUGUGUUGGUCUAGAACUUAAGUA
This 223-nucleotide ribosomal RNA is filed under the name uncultured fungus. RNAcentral describes it as "partial small subunit ribosomal RNA". The stretch from base 101 to 223 matches the Rfam family "Eukaryotic small subunit ribosomal RNA", at positions 739 to 864 of the family's 1831-position model. The record is from RNAcentral. Lineage: Eukaryota; Fungi.